Molecule: long non-coding RNA, 1342 nt
Organism: Oncorhynchus keta (chum salmon)
Lineage: Eukaryota; Metazoa; Chordata; Actinopteri; Salmoniformes; Salmonidae
Exons: 3
Source: RefSeq, a predicted model, not a curated record
CAGUAGAAGUCAGAGAGAGGUAGGCCUACAAUGAACGGUCCAGACAGUAAAAAUCUGCAUACAUUGCGGAGAUGGUCAACCAGAUUUGAACACAAUCAGAUCACAAUGCGACUUUUAUGAGUCUACACCCGUGUUUUCAAUGCGAUAUUUGUAUUCUCAUGGCAGAAAUCGCAAAAAAAAUUCAAGAUUAGACGUGACCUGAGCAGCGACAAUCAAGCGAACAAGUUUUUCGCACUUGAUCGUUUGAGAUCCACACAUCCAUAAUUAGUUGUUAAACAACAGUCCUGAUCCGGGAAUCGGAUUGGCUAUUUGCACUUCAGGGAAACACUGUCACUACUGCUAAGGAAUGCAUCCUAGUUCAUCUACUAUCCAGCUUGUUCUCACCUCAGUGUCAGCAGUCUUGAACCGGGUGCUAGGAUGCUGUGGCCGUUAUUGGAGACGUUACACUCCAGAAGAGGAUACGUUAUCUUGUCCUGUAAGAGAAACCCAACCAGCACCUCGCUCUAGCUCUGUGAGACCCUGGGUUUGGGAUGUUCAUCAUGACCUGGCCCCGGCAUAUGGGAAUUCCAAUGACCUGCACUGAAGAGAAAAUGGAAAGGCUCUUCUUUACUCGGUUUUCAUUUUUGUUUAUACCCCAUUCUCAGCCUACUGGUAGGUGAUUGGUCUGUUUCAGCCAGAUCCUGUUGAGCUCUUGCCAAAUAAAACCAUACAUAUAACUCAUGAAACCAGGGUAUGUACAGUAAGUCUUGUGUAUAAUAAAUUAUAUUUAAGGAAAUGUUUGUCUGGCUAAUAUCUAUGGAGUCUAUUUUACUGGGUUGGUGUCAGUAGGUCUCGUCUUAGCUGUAAAGGUCACAACCUACCUCUUUACCUCUGAAGUGUACGUGCAUGGUAAUCAUUAUUCCAUCCAGCUUUCAACUUCACACACAUUACACAUCUUAGAAUCUGUGGUGAGGUUGUACACAUCCCCAUGUGCUAGACUUCUGAAUGGGGUAGUGGAUUUAAUACUGGUCCCACUCAGGCCAGUUAAGUACCAUAGCUUAUAUAUGAAUUAUAAUUCGUUGUGAGGUUUUUAAAUGAAUUUUAUAUUCUUAAGUAUCAAACAUCUGAAAUGGAAUACAAUGUUGUGGGGAAUAGGAAAACUGAGUAUUACAAACUUUUAUUCAAAAUGUGAGAGAUAGAUGUGCUAGAAAGUGACGGACCAUGGGAAACGUUUGAACGCUUCUUCAUAUUCACUUUGGCUCGGAUCACAGCUGAAAUGCAAAGUAUUAAAUGCACUUGGUGACAUCCUCAUACUCACACAUGUACAGACAGACCAGCCAUGUCAGUUACUUGCUGUUAUAAA